GAGGCAGAGCCAGCAGGAAUUCCC
Molecule: non-coding RNA, 24 nt
Filed under: Cricetulus griseus (Chinese hamster)
Lineage: Eukaryota; Metazoa; Chordata; Mammalia; Rodentia; Cricetidae
Source: RNAcentral